AUGAACGCUGGCGGCGUGCCUAAUCCAUGCACGUCGAGCGAACGGACGAGAAGCUUGCUUCUCUGAUGUUAGCGGCGGACGGGUGAGUAACACGUGGAUAACCUACCUAUAAGACUGGGAUAACUUCGGGAAACCGUAGCUAAUACCGGAUAAUAUUUUGAACCGCAUGGUUCAAAAGUAAAAAACGUUUUUGUGUUACCUUUAGAUUGAUCCGCGCUGCAUUAGCUAGUUGGUAAGGUAACGGCUUACCCAGGCAACGAUGCAUAGCCGACCUGAGAGGGUGAUCGGCCACACUGGAACUGAGACACGGUCCAGACUCCUACGGGAGGCAGCAGUAGGGAUUCUUCCGCAAUGGGCGAAAGCCUGACGGAGCAACGCCGCGUGAGUGAUGAAGGUCUUCGGAUCGUAAAACUCUGUUAUUAGGGAAGAACAUAUGUGUAAGUAACUGUGCACAUCUUGACGGUACCUAAUCAGAAAGCCACGGCUAACUACGUG
This 495-nucleotide ribosomal RNA is filed under the name uncultured bacterium. Its description in RNAcentral is "partial 16S ribosomal RNA". It matches the Rfam family "Bacterial small subunit ribosomal RNA", at positions 29 to 507 of the family's 1533-position model. The record is from RNAcentral.